This 415-nucleotide RNase P RNA is filed under the name Treponema sp. Its description in RNAcentral is "RNase P RNA component class A". It matches the Rfam family "Bacterial RNase P class A". From Rfam's summary of the family: Ribonuclease P (RNase P) is a ubiquitous endoribonuclease, found in archaea, bacteria and eukarya as well as chloroplasts and mitochondria. Its best characterised activity is the generation of mature 5'-ends of tRNAs by cleaving the 5'-leader elements of precursor-tRNAs. The record is from RNAcentral. Lineage: Bacteria; Pseudomonadati; Spirochaetota; Spirochaetia; Treponematales; Treponemataceae.
UGAACCAGACCGCCGCCCGGCCGCGGAACUUUGUUUCCGCUCCGGGAGGAAAGUCCGGGCUCCGCAGGGCAUGAUGCCGGGUAACGCCCGGGCAGAGAGCCGUAAUCGGAAGGUUUUCCCGAAGAUAUUCGGUUUUUUGACAGACAGCGCAACAGAAAGUAUACCGCCCGCAAGCGGACGCUUGCGCCGCUUACGGGUAAGGGUGAAAUGGCGGGGUAAAAGCCCGCCGCGGCGGCGGCAACGUUGCCGGCACGGCAAGCCUCAUCAGGAGCAAAGUCAAGCAGCGUGGUGAAUGGUUCGCCAUUCGCGCCGGCGGCCCGCCGGUUAAACGCGGGUAGACUGCACGGAGAGCGGCCGCGAGGCUGUUCCCAGACAGAUGACGGUCGAACACAGAACCCGGCUUAUGGUUCAUCGU